UACGGGGGGGGCAAGCGUUGUUCGGAAUUACUGGGCGUAAAGGGCUCGUAGGCGGCCAACUAAGUCAGACGUGAAAUCCCUCGGCUUAACCAGGGAACUGCGUCUGAUACUGGAUGGCUUGAGAUUGGGAGAGGGAUGCGGAAUUCCAGGUGUAGCGGUGAAAUGCGUAGAUAUCUGGAGGAACACCGGUGGCGAAGGCGGCAUCCUGGACCAACACUGACGCUGAUGAGCGAAAGCCAGGGGAGCAAACGGG
This 253-nucleotide ribosomal RNA is filed under the name uncultured bacterium. Its description in RNAcentral is "partial 16S ribosomal RNA". It matches the Rfam family "Bacterial small subunit ribosomal RNA", at positions 524 to 776 of the family's 1533-position model. The record is from RNAcentral.